UACGUAGGGGGCUAGCGUUGUCCGGAAUCAUUGGGCGUAAAGCGCGUGUAGGCGGCCCGGUAAGUCCGCUGUGAAAGUCCAGGGCUCAACCCUGGAAUGCCGGUGGAUACUGUCGGGCUCGAGUCCGGAAGAGGCGAGUGGAAUUCCUGGUGUAGCGGUGAAAUGCGCAGAUAUCAGGAGGAACACCGAUGGCGAAGGCAGCUCGCUGGGACGGUAACUGACGCUGAGACGGCGAAAGCGUGGGGAGCAAACAGGAUUAAGAAACCCU
This 268-nucleotide ribosomal RNA is filed under the name uncultured bacterium. RNAcentral's name for it is "partial 16S ribosomal RNA". It matches the Rfam family "Bacterial small subunit ribosomal RNA", at positions 524 to 788 of the family's 1533-position model. The record is from RNAcentral.